RNAcentral lists this long non-coding RNA (256 nucleotides) under Mytilus galloprovincialis (Mediterranean mussel). The record is from RNAcentral. Lineage: Eukaryota; Metazoa; Mollusca; Bivalvia; Mytilida; Mytilidae.
AUUAAAAAAAGAAUAUAGUUCAAGAAGACACAAUUUCAUGGGACACUUUUUUUGCUUACAAAAAACUCAUCAACUAAAAUAAUCAAAUUAAAAAAAAAACAAUGUUUUUGUUUAAUUUUAUUUACAUAAAUAAGUUGACUUGUCCCCUAUUUUACUUUUGGUUUCUGAUGCUGACUCUUCAUGUUCCAACUGAUUUGUCUCAUGACGAGUUUUAACCCUGUUCUCGUUAAUGCAUUAUGACAUGCAUUCAUUCCGG